This 497-nucleotide ribosomal RNA is filed under the name uncultured bacterium. RNAcentral's name for it is "partial 16S ribosomal RNA". It matches the Rfam family "Bacterial small subunit ribosomal RNA", at positions 28 to 507 of the family's 1533-position model. The record is from RNAcentral.
GAUGAACGCUGGCGGCGUGCCUAAUACAUGCAAGUCGAGCGAACAGACGAGGAGCUUGCUCCUCUGACGUUAGCGGCGGACGGGUGAGUAACACGUGGAUAACCUACCUAUAAGACUGGGAUAACUUCGGGAAACCGGAGCUAAUACCGGAUAAUAUAUUGAACCGCAUGGUUCAAUAGUGAAAGACGGUUUUGCUGUCACUUAUAGAUGGAUCCGCGCCGCAUUAGCUAGUUGGUAAGGUAACGGCUUACCAAGGCAACGAUGCGUAGCCGACCUGAGAGGGUGAUCGGCCACACUGGAACUGGGACACGGUCCAGACUCCUACGGGAGGCAGCAGUAGGGAAUCUUCCGCAAUGGGCGAAAGCCUGACGGAGCAACGCCGCGUGAGUGAUGAAGGUCUUCGGAUCGUAAAGCUCUGUUAUUAGGGAAGAACAAAUGUGUAAGUAACUAUGCACGUCUUGACGGUACCUAAUCAGAAAGCCACGGCUAACUACGUG